GACGAACGCUGGCGGCGUGCUUAACACAUGCAAGUCGAACGGAAAGGCCCUGCUUUUGUGGGGUGCUCGAGUGGCGAACGGGUGAGUAACACGUGAGUAACCUGCCCUUGACUUUGGGAUAACUUCAGGAAACUGGGGCUAAUACCGGAUAGGAGCUCCUGCUGCAUGGUGGGGGUUGGAAAGUUUCGGCGGUUGGGGAUGGACUCGCGGCUUAUCAGCUUGUUGGUGGGGUAGUGGCUUACCAAGGCUUUGACGGGUAGCCGGCCUGAGAGGGUGACCGGCCACAGUGGGACUGAGAUACGGCCCAGACUCCUACGGGAGGCAGCAGUGGGGAUGAGUGCACAAUGGGCGGAAGCCUGAUGCAGCAACGCCGCGUGCGGGAUGACGGCCUUCGGGUUGUAAACCGCUUUCGCCUGUGACGAAGCGUGAGUGACGGUAAUGGGUAAAGAAGCACCGGCUAACUACGUG
RNAcentral lists this ribosomal RNA (468 nucleotides) under uncultured bacterium. Its description in RNAcentral is "partial 16S ribosomal RNA". It matches the Rfam family "Bacterial small subunit ribosomal RNA", at positions 28 to 507 of the family's 1533-position model. The record is from RNAcentral.